This is a non-coding RNA of Podarcis lilfordi (Lilford's wall lizard), 5284 nucleotides long. The record is from the annotation of a GenBank genome assembly. NCBI's taxonomy places the organism in Eukaryota, Metazoa, Chordata, Lepidosauria, Squamata, Lacertidae.
GUAUGUGUGCCUGAAGGAGGGAAAUCUGUGUGGUUGGAUUGCAUUAUUAUUGCAUUAUUCUCCUCCCACAUUUGAUUUGUGAUUCAUGCAGGGUCUCAGAACUCCACUGGUGGCAGCUCUAAGGUAUUCCAAGUUGUUCCACCAGUGAACCAAGUUGUUUCAUUCACAAUUUUAUUUGCAUGCCAUUUUUUCUGCAAAAAAGAAUCCUGCUCAAAGCGGUUUACAACAAAGAAAACAGGAAUGCAUCUCAAAAUCAACCAUUGCGAGAAAAAGUUCAUGAUAACGUAAUAAAACAACAGCGUCAUGGCAAAUAUAACAAUAUACAAAACCUCCCAGCAUUUCGGUACUGGAAAUAUAACAAUAUUGCAUUAAAAGCAUUUCACCCCUUGGUGAAAAGGAAACAGUAACAGGGAAGCUUGACAGUUUCAGCUUGGUCCUAGAAAUGUUUCCGGUCUGCUGUUGCUCACAGCCCUUCUCCUGCAAUGACUUACAAGGCUUCCAAAGGCUGGAUCAGAGUCUGGCAUCCUGCUGUCACAGUGGCAAACCAGAUCCCUGUGGAUCCUAGCAGCUGGGAUUCAAAUUUGGAAGGGAACUGGGAGCCAUUUUGUGGUUCGCCUCAGGUGUCAACAUGUUUUGGGUUGGCCCUGCUGCUGAGUCUCCACUGGCAGUGAGUUCCACAGGACAGGGCCUGCCACGCAAAAGACUCAGUCCCUAGUAAAGGUUGAUCAAAUCUCAGGGGCCUUGUGAGGAGCCACCAGAAGUGCCCCAUCGGAGGAUCUCAGUAAUUGAGUUGAAGGAUAAAGGAUCAGGAAUGGGUAACUUGAAACACUAGGUUUACAACAGCUUGCAAGCCUUGACACUAUAUAUUUAAAAAAUAAAUCCAAAAAAUUGUCUUUGUCUUGAGUGAUGGACAGCUUUUGUCUGCUGCCACAGAGCCCAGUUUUCAGGGACCAGAACAGGAUAUGAGCUGCAGACCCUGCUCAGUCAGAGCCCUAGAAUUAAAUCUUGUCAUUUAUAUUUAACCAGAGCUUCACUUUUUAAAUUAUUCAAGGGUCUAAGCUUUCAUUAAUUCCUCUGCCUACAUGGGUUUAGUUUUGUUUUUGAUGUGGAAUGGGAUUGCUUUCACCUAAAUUGGUGUAAUACCCCCAUAUAUAUCUCCCCUUCUCCCUGCUUAAACCGCACGCCGGGUAUCAUUUAACGAAUAAAAAACGUUGACAUGAUAUAUGAAAUUAAAGCUGGCGUUGGGCAUAGAAAUGCAUUUGAAAGUGCCGAGAUUGGAUCCGCUCUCAUUUCUAAUCAAAACAGCCAGCUUAACAAAAGGAAGGAGCAGAUUGGUUCUCCGGCGUGUGAACCGAGCUGUGCUGGAAGUGAAAGAAAGGUGGAUGGGAAUGGGGUCGGGGGGUCAGCUGAUUAUUUACAGCAGCUGUCCCCCAACCUGGUGCCCUCUGGAUGUUUUAGGCUACAGCUUCCAUCGGCUGGGGCCAUAGGAGUUGUCCUUCAAAACCUCCUGAGGGUACCUGGUUGAGGGAAGACUGAUUUACACGUUAACAUUCCCGGGUUCGAGUGCAGCUCUCUGUUAGGUGCAACUGCUCUGCUGACUUCCUGGAAGAAAGAUCUAGUAGUGAUGUAUGGAAGUGAGAGCUGGACCAUAAAGAAGGCUGUUCGUAGAAGAAUUGAUGCUUUUGAAUUAUGGUGCUGGAGGAGUCUCUUGAGAGUCCCAUAGACUGCAAGAAGAUCAAACCUAUCCAUUCUUAAGGAAAUCAGCCCUGAGUGCUCACUGGAAGGACAGAUCCUGAAGCUGAGGGUCCAAUACUUUGGCCACCUCAUGAGAAGAGAAGACUCCCUGGAAAAGUACCCUGUUGUUGGGAAAGAUGGAGGGCACAAGGAGAAGGGGACGACAGAGGACGAGAUGGUUGGAUAAGUGUUCUCGAAGCUACCAGCAUUAGUUUGACUAAACCGCGGGAGGCAGUGGAAGACAGAAGUGCCUGGCGUGCUCUGGUCCAGGGGGUCAUGAAGAGUCGGACACGACAAAACGACUAAACAACAACAAAUGUGGGCAUGCAGUGAAUGAGUGAGCCAAAGUGCUGCUUUUGGGGUUGCUUUUCCGGUGCAUCUUGGAGGAACAAAAUUCCCAUUCCACGUUUCUCUCUUUCUAGUCUUUCUUUACUCCUGCUUUUGUGCUCAGGAGCCCCUUUUGUCCUUUCUCCUUGGAACCCAAAGUCAACUCAGCUGUCCUCCAUGCUGCCUUUGGAAGUGGCUGUCCGUCAAGACUGUCUUCUUUUAUGCCAUCCCCACUAGGCUUUCUGAUCCACACCAGCUCCUUUGUGUGGCAUGGAGAGAUCAAGGGAAGCUGGCUUUAUUGCCAUGGCGCAGUGGCUGCUGUUGGGAUGGUCUGGAUCUUGUUCCCAUGGUAGCCACUGCUGGGUUGGGCCUUCCCCAUUCCACCAGCUCUGAGGAACAGCUUGUCCAAGCAGAUCCACAUGCCGGAUUUUCCUUGAGCGAAGCCCCCGGCGUCCAGCGAAGUUGAAGGUUGGAAGCUUCAGGUCAGAUGUUCAAGAAAGCCUGCGAAAGAGAGCCAUAAAACAAAUAUAAAACAGACCAGAAACAUCAGAAAUGAAAGCAAUUAUUGUAGCAACAGUAAAACUAGCAGUAGAUAUAAAAUCAGUCAGGAGGAUGCGAGGCUGCCUGCUAAGUCUGGCAGCUUUAACAGAGGAUUAGAUUAAUUCUUGAAGGACAUGGCUAUCAGUGGCUACUAGCCACAAUCAUUAUUCUCUGUUACCUCUACUCUUGGAGAUACUGGGCCUCUGAAUACCUGUUGCUGGGAAUCUCAGGUGGGGAGAGCAGCAUUUGAAGUUCACCAGGCACAUUUUGCACCUGAGGAUGGGCUACUUGCACCCAAGGGAAGAUGCCUAGGUGGUAGGAUGACGCCUGACGUCUCCACUGUCGGGAGGUGGAUGCCUGGGGAUCCUUGGAUCUUGAUUGUUUUCACACACAAGCAACACAUCCUGUAGAAUCCUAGCCAAUACGUUUUAUCUGCACAAUCAGAAUGAAUUUCAGGAACCCAAAAAGUCUUAUUGAAAAAUAUGACUUUCGAACCGUCUGGACCCAACAUGGCAAUGAAGCAGUCCCUCUUGGUGACUGUAACCCUAGUUUAAGGAGCUAUUUGGCACCUAGUUUAUAUAUCUGAAGGGAUGCGAGUGGCGCUAUGGGUUAAACCACAGAGCCUAGGACUUGCCAGUCAGAAGGUUGGCGGUUUGAAUCCCCACAACGGGGUGAGCUCCUGUUGUUUGGUCCCUGCUCCUGCCAUCCUAGCAGUUCGAAAGCACAUCAAAGUGCAAGUAGAUAAAUAGGUACCGCUCCAGCAGGAAGGUAAACAGUGUUUCCGUGCACUGCUCUGGUUCGCCAGAAGCGGCUUAGUCAUGCUGGCCACAUGACGCAGAAGCUGUACGCCAGCUCUCUCGGCCAAUAAAGCAAGAUGAGCGCCACAACCCCAAAGUCGGUCAUGACUGGACCUAAUGGUCAGGGGUCCCUUUACUCUUUACCUUACCUUAUAUAUCUGAGCUUCUAACACUGGCCCGGGAGAGUGGCCUUCAUAUCUCCGCCGGAGCACAAUUUCUGUUCUCAUCCUGAAGCAAAGUUCUUAACCCGAGGUACUAUUUCUGGGUUAGCGGAGUGUGUAACCUGAAGCGUAUGUAAUCUGAAGCGUAUGUAACCCGAGGUACCACUGUAUAAGCUUUAGUUUGGAAGGGGACAGAACUAUUCAAGCCCUAACUGCUAUUUCCUCUUCACGCUCUUAUUUCCAUUUUCUGAACAAUACCAUUGUUCGUAUCCUGUAGCAAGUCAAGUUCUCUAUGGACUAUAAACAUCUGUUAAGUCCAAAUGAUUAGGGGGGUUGUGCAUGAAAGAGUCAGUUCAGAAUUACUUCAGUCUCACGAACUGGUCUGAACUUUACUGGAGUUCUUUUUUUCUUUCUUAAAAAACUUUACAGAGUUUUAAAAAAACCAAUAAAUUAUGUAGCACGGCUCAUGAAAAAGCCAGUCCUUGGCCAGUCAACCCAAAAGAGUCUAGAAAGUUUUGGUUUUGCAGGAGGAUAAAAAUAAUUGUUUUCAUGUGUUUCGCGAGCCCGUAAAAGCAACAGGGCAGGAAGUGAGCGGGCCCAUAAUUGCACUUUCAAAGAAAGAGAGGCAGAGAGGGACUGGCCAAUGGCCCCUCGUGGAGGAGGCUCAGCCAUGCUCCCCAGGGCAGCUUCAUCCUAAGAGAGCUCCAUGGUAGCUUCAGUGCAGGUUUCCAACAGAAUAUCUUGGGAAGCAUUAAUGCUAUGAUGCUUAGUGCUAGUGUGUCCUUUGUUUGGAGUGUGGAAGGGUCUUGACUCAGUGUUUUGAGUGCAAAAAAGUUCUCCGGUUGAAUCCUUGGUCUCUCCAAGUAGGAAAGACCCCUUCCCCAAACCCUGGAGAUUCAGGAAGGGGUUUAGGUUGCAGCAAUCUGCUAAAAUGGAAUUUCUCUUCCAUUGAUUUCAUAGAGGUUUCCAUCCAGACCUACUAUGGAUUCCCUGCUAACAAACCUCCUCCCUUUUAUCCUGAUGCACACCCCUUCCUGGAUCAGGAAGGGCUGUGCAUUGGAAGCCCCUGCUAAAGGGGAGGAUUUCCCUCCCCCAUUAUACCGUAAUUUUAGCAGAGGAUCCUUGCAACCCAUUGCCAAGUCAAGGGGAGAAACUCUCCUUUAGAAGCCCCAGCUUCAGGACUUCAAAGUAUCUUGCAUGUAAUGUCACUGUGAUGUCAUGGAACUGAUAGGUGGGCAGCCUCACCCACCUGUCUGAUUUGGCCCUACAAGGCUGAUCCUGAUGAAGAUGUGGCCCUUGUAGAUGAAAAGGUUUCCUACUCGUACUGUAAAGCAAGGUCCUAGAAGAGGGUUGCUCACAGCAAACCCAACCCCAAAGGCCUUCAAGCGAGUCUUCAGAACAUGGAUUAGAUAUUAGACCAAGGAUGGCGGACUUCAGGCAUGCAGGAUCUCCUUGGUUUGCUUGUUUCUCACUAGAAUCCAGAGGCCACCGAUCACAACCAGGUGCAAAAAGGGCCAAUGUGGUGUAGUGGUUAGAGUGUUUUGUGACUAUGACCAGGAUUCAAAUUCCCACUUGGCCAUCAAGCUUGCUGGGUGACCUUUGGCUGGGCAUGCCUCUUAGUCUGAGCUCCCUCAUAGGGUGGUUGUGAGAGUAAAAGAGGGGAUGAGGAGAGCCAUGAACACUAUCUUGAGCUCCUAGGUGGAAAGUAAAUGUAGUAAUAAGUAC